ACGAUUCCUUCGGGAUGAAGCGUUUGUGACUUAGUGGCGGACGGGUGAGUAACGCGUGGGUAACCUGCCUUAUACAGGGGGAUAACAGUUAGAAAUGACUGCUAAUACCGCAUAAGCGCACAGUCUCGCAUGGGACAGUGUGAAAAACUAAGGUGGUAUAAGAUGGACCCGCGUCUGAUUAGCUAGUUGGUGGGGUAAAGGCCUACCAAGGCGACGAUCAGUAGCCGACCUGAGAGGGUGAUCGGCCACAUUGGGACUGAGACACGGCCCAAACUCC
Molecule: ribosomal RNA, 277 nt
Filed under: uncultured Eubacteriales bacterium
Lineage: Bacteria; Bacillati; Bacillota; Clostridia; Eubacteriales
Description: uncultured Clostridiales bacterium partial 16S ribosomal RNA
Rfam family: Bacterial small subunit ribosomal RNA
Source: RNAcentral